CUGGAGGAGUCCGGAUGGUACUGUGGAAGCUCGGAUGGUAGGGGGAGUUCAGAAAGAUGCCGCACAAGGUCGGAAGCCGGAAGAGUCAUGGGAGGGUUGGCCUCUUACGAACUUCGGCUGGGGUUAUUUUAUACCCAACACCACAGAUGCUAACUAACAAUCUUACAUAACAUCUUUUCUUGGGCAGUUCCCCCAGCAUAUUAUGCACAUCUAGCUAUU
RNAcentral lists this long non-coding RNA (219 nucleotides) under Elaeis guineensis (African oil palm). RNAcentral describes it as "long non-coding RNA (EGUI_LNC063691)". Lineage: Eukaryota; Viridiplantae; Streptophyta; Magnoliopsida; Arecales; Arecaceae. The record is from RNAcentral.